GCCACGGUGGUCUAGCGGUUAGACCGCUGGUUGGCCUUGUAAUCCUGGGGUCUCGGGUUCGAUUCCCGGCGGUGGCG
RNAcentral lists this transfer RNA (77 nucleotides) under Zootermopsis nevadensis. It matches the Rfam family "tRNA". Rfam says of the family: Transfer RNA (tRNA) molecules are approximately 80 nucleotides in length. Their secondary structure includes four short double-helical elements and three loops (D, anti-codon, and T loops). Lineage: Eukaryota; Metazoa; Arthropoda; Insecta; Blattodea; Termopsidae. The record is from Rfam by way of RNAcentral.